AACCUCCCAGAGUGCUGGGAUUACAGGCCUGAGCCACCGUGCCCAGCCGAGAUUUUUUUUGAUACAUAAUAAUUCAUGAGACUAUUACAAAUAUGGUAAAUGGAUUCUUCCUUCCCAGCUCACCCACACUCAAGAUGCUUCCUUUAAAAUUCUGUUAACAAUUUGUGCUAGUUAAUAGGUAGCUAGUGCAAUACUCAAGUAAAGGAUGUUGUGUAGUUUUGGAUACUGAGAUGUAUAGUCUUUGUCUAAAAGGAGUUGAAAGACAGAAAUAUGACAAUAUGAGAGGGUUUAGAUGAUUCUAUUAGAAUGAUAUUUAUGUAUUUAAAACAGAUAUGGUUAAGGAGUUCAGCAAAAAUAAUGUCUCAAUACAUAAGAUCAGAGAUUAAGCGUGGAGGAAGAAAGUUGGAGAAGGAUUAACAAGAAGUGAUGUUUUCAAAUUUCAUGUGUGGUUAGAAGCCAUCAUCUUAGUGACUCAAGGCAGUAAUACUACUGCUUUACAAUACAGUGCUCUAAAAUAAUGUUACAGAUAUUGCAUGUACUUUUAAAAACAUAUAUCAUUUUGGGGAUACUCUUUGAUGCCAAGUUUAAAAAAUUCUGAAGUGUUUAAAAUGAUACAAACUUAGAGCAUGAUCUGUGUUCCUUUUUUUUUUAAUCAGGUAAGCUUCUUGGUUUUGGGUGUAGAUCUGAAAAGUUAACAUUUCUUGAACCAAUAAAAUGUUUCCAGUUUUAUAUAAUUAUAUCACAAAGUCUACCUUCUGCCUUGAUUUGCAAAGAAAAGCUCCAAAAAGGACCAUAAAGAAGAGGAGAUAACACACAAAUGGUGAGCAAUGAAGUAGAUGUACAAAAUGGUUUGUGCAGAUUUGGCACUUAAAACAUACAGCAGCCGAAGUACAUCUUAAAUUUCAUUUAGUGAAUAUAUUGCUCACGAGUCCCUCUCUUCAUUUCCUGAGGAAGUAGAUCCCUAUUCUCUCCCAUAUGGUGAGAAAAUCUCUUUGCUAUCCAGUUUCCCUGUUUACAUUUGUUCUUCCAUCCCCUUCUGAUUCCUCAGCAAAGCAGCUGCUUUGAAAAGAAGCUCAAAGGAUUACCUUGAAAUGGUUACCCACUCUCCCCCUUUUCUGCUCCAAGAAGAAAGUUUCUUUCUGUAUUUUCCCAGCAUUAUUAAGAGUCAAGACUUGAGGCCUUAAGGAUUUAAUUUUGGACAAUAUAGUCUACUCUGCCUGAUUGAAACCUGGGAUAUACUUCAAAGAGUAUAUUGAAGUGCAUUUGAUGGCCUGUGGAAUUUUUGGAAGGGCCGUAGGAGCAGACUGCAAGCUGAGCUUCCAGAACACUCCCAGCACUCAGAACUUAAGUCCACUACAGUCUGUAAAUAUGUUGCGGCCAGUGCAGAAAGCUGUUACUGCUGCUGACUGGAGGGUCUUGCUGCCCGCAGUACCAACUAAGCCAAUAAAAUGCAUGCCCACAGCCA
Homo sapiens (human) is the source of this 1465-nucleotide long non-coding RNA. RefSeq lists it as uncharacterized. The transcript has 2 exons. The record is from RefSeq and is a predicted model, not a curated record. NCBI's taxonomy places the organism in Eukaryota, Metazoa, Chordata, Mammalia, Primates, Hominidae.